RNAcentral lists this ribosomal RNA (253 nucleotides) under uncultured bacterium. RNAcentral describes it as "partial 16S ribosomal RNA". It matches the Rfam family "Bacterial small subunit ribosomal RNA", at positions 524 to 776 of the family's 1533-position model. The record is from RNAcentral.
UACGGAAUGUGCAAACGUUAUUCGGAGUCACUGAGCUUAAAGAGUCCGUAGGCGGCUUGUUAGGUGAGGUGUGAAAUCCCUCGGCCCAACCGAGGAAUUGCGCUUCAAACCGGCAAGCUAGAGGAGGAUAGAGGUGGGCGGAACUGAUGGUGGAGCGGUGAAAUGCGUUGAUAUCAUCAGGAACACCGGAGGCGAAGGCGGUCCACUGGGUCCUUUCUGACGCUGAGGGACGAAAGCUAGGGGAGCAAACGGG